This 253-nucleotide ribosomal RNA is filed under the name uncultured bacterium. Its description in RNAcentral is "partial 16S ribosomal RNA". It matches the Rfam family "Bacterial small subunit ribosomal RNA", at positions 524 to 776 of the family's 1533-position model. The record is from RNAcentral.
UACGAAGGGUGCUAGCGUUGCUCGGAAUUACUGGGCGUAAAGCGCACGUAGGCGGUCUUUUAAGUCGGGGGUGAAAUCCUGGAGCUCAACUCCAGAACUGCCUUCGAUACUGGAAGACUUGAGUCCGGGAGAGGUGAGUGGAACUGCGAGUGUAGAGGUGAAAUUCGUAGAGAUCGGGAGGAACACCAGUGGCGAAGGCGGCUACCUGGACCAGCACUGACACUGAAGCACGAAAGCGUGGGGAGCAAACAGG